Molecule: ribosomal RNA, 784 nt
Filed under: uncultured bacterium
Lineage: Bacteria
Description: bacterial SSU rRNA
Rfam family: Bacterial small subunit ribosomal RNA
Source: RNAcentral
AGAGUUUGAUCCUGGCUCAGAACGAACGCUGGCGGCGUGCUUAACACAUGCAAGUCGAGCGCGAAAGGGACUUCGGUCCUGAGUAAAGCGGCAGACGGGUGAGUAACACGUGGAUAACCUAUCCCUUGGUGGGGGAUAAUUACUCGAAAGGGUGGCUAAUACCGCAUAAGACCGUGAAUUUUCGAAUUUACGGUGAAAGAUUUAUUGCCGAGAGAGGGGUCCGCGUCCGAUUAGCUAGUAGGUGAGGUAAUGGCUCACCUAGGCGACGAUCGGUAGCUGGUCUGAGAGGAUGAUCAGCCACACUGGUACUUAGACACGGACCAGACUCCUACGGGAGGCAGCAGUGGGGAAUAUUGCGCAAUGGACGAAAGUCUGACGCAGCAACGCCGCGUGGGUGAAGAAGGCCUUAGGGUCGUAAAGCCCUGUCAGAUGGGAAGAAACCUGCACUUGAUGCAGCUGACGGUACCAUCAAAGGAAGCACCGGCUAACUCUGUGCCAGCAGCCGCGGUAAUACAGAGGGUGCAAGCGUUGUUCGGAAUCACUGGGCGUAAAGGGCGCGUAGGCGGCUUUACAAGUCUGGCGUGAAAGCCCGGGGCUCAACCCCGGAAGUGCGUUGGAAACUGUAGAGCUUGAGUUCGGUAGAGGAGGGCAGAAUUCCCGGUGUAGGGGUGAAAUCCGUAGAUAUCGGGAGGAAAACCAGUGGCGAAAGCGGCCCUCUGGAACGAAACUGACGCUGAGGCGCGAAAGCGUGGGGAGCAAACAGGAUUAGAUACCCUGGUAGUCC